UGUAUAAUGUAUAAUGACUCAUCACUCUGCUACAUACAGUUUCACUAAUGAUUUCUUCAAUCCUAUUUGGUUCUUACCCGUUUUUGGCUGCAUUGGACGAUGAGGAAAGUCUCUAUACUAUGCUCCUUGAGCAACCCUCUGAGGUGAACUGAGCUAAGAGCGAGUGACUGCCCCAACAUCACCCAGCUGGCUUUCAUGUCUAAGGCGAGCUUGAAUGCAUUCCCUUGUUUCCUGAAAGGCCUGUCUUUGGGACACUUCAGCUGGAUAGUGCGUACAGACCCCUACAAUGUUUGUGCAGAUGAAGAUGAGGAUGUUGG
This is a long non-coding RNA of Ahaetulla prasina, 317 nucleotides long. RefSeq lists it as uncharacterized. The transcript is spliced from 3 exons. The record is from RefSeq and is a predicted model, not a curated record. Lineage: Eukaryota; Metazoa; Chordata; Lepidosauria; Squamata; Colubridae.